GAUGAACGCUAGCUACAGGCUUAACACAUGCAAGUCGAGGGGCAGCAUGAACUUAGCUUGCUAAGUUUGAUGGCGACCGGCGCACGGGUGAGUAACACGUAUCCAACCUGCCGAUGACUCGGGGAUAGCCUUUCGAAAGAAAGAUUAAUACCCGAUGGCAUAGUUCUUCCGCAUGGUAGAACUAUUAAAGAACUUCGGUCAUCGAUGGGGAUGCGUUCCAUUAGGUUGUUGGCGGGGUAACGGCCCACCAAGCCUUCGAUGGAUAGGGGUUCUGAGAGGAAGGCCCCCCACAUUGGAACUGAGACACGGUCCAAACUCCUACGGGAGGCAGCAGUGAGGAAUAUUGGUCAAUGGACGAGAGUCUGAACCAGCCAAGUAGCGUGAAGGAUGACUGCCCUAUGGGUUGUAAACUUCUUUUAUACGGGAAUAAAGUGAGGCACGUGUGCCUUUUUGUAUGUACCGUAUGAAUAAGGAUCGGCUAACUCCGUGCCAGCAGCCGCGGUAAUACGGAGGAUCCGAGCGUUAUCCGGAUUUAUUGGGUUUAAAGGGAGCGUAGGCGGACGCUUAAGUCAGUUGUGAAAGUUUGCGGCUCAACCGUAAAAUUGCAGUUGAUACUGGGUGUCUUGAGUACAGUAGAGGCAGGCGGAAUUCGUGGUGUAGCGGUGAAAUGCUUAGAUAUCACGAAGAACUCCGAUUGCGAAGGCAGCCUGCUGGACUGUAACUGACGCUGAUGCUCGAAAGUGUGGGUAUCAAACAGGAUUAGAUACCCUGGUAGUCCACACAGUAAACGAUGAAUACUCGCUGUUUGCGAUAUACAGUAAGCGGCCAAGCGAAAGCGUUAAGUAUUCCACCUGGGGAGUACGAAUUGACGGGGGCCCGCACAAGCGGAGGAACAUGUGGUUUAAUUCGAUGAUACGCGAGGAACCUUACCCGGGCUUGAAUUGCAACUGAAUGAUGUGGAGACAUGUCAGCCGCAAGGCAGUUGUGAAGGUGCUGCAUGGUUGUCGUCAGCUCGUGCCGUGAGGUGUCGGCUUAAGUGCCAUAACGAGCGCAACCCUUAUCGAUAGUUACCAUCAGGUUAUGCUGGGGACUCUGUCGAGACUGCCGUCGUAAGAUGUGAGGAAGGUGGGGAUGACGUCAAAUCAGCACGGCCCUUACGUCCGGGGCUACACACGUGUUACAAUGGGGGGUACAGAAGGCAGCUACACGGCGACGUGAUGCUAAUCCCGAAAGCCUCUCUCAGUUCGGAUUGGAGUCUGCAACCCGACUCCAUGAAGCUGGAUUCGCUAGUAAUCGCGCAUCAGCCACGGCGCGGUGAAUACGUUCCCGGGCCUUGUACACACCGCCCGUCAAGCCAUGAAAGCCGGGGGUACCUGAAGUGCGUAACCGCAAGGAGCGCCCUAGGGUAAAACUGGUGAUUGGGGCU
RNAcentral lists this ribosomal RNA (1426 nucleotides) under uncultured bacterium. Its description in RNAcentral is "bacterial SSU rRNA". It matches the Rfam family "Bacterial small subunit ribosomal RNA". The record is from RNAcentral.